CAGUCGCCGCGGUAAUACGUAGGUGGCAAGCGUUGUCCGGAAUUAUUGGGCGUAAAGCGCGCGCAGGCGGUUUCUUAAGUCUGAUGUGAAAGCCCCCGGCUUAACUGGGGAGGGUCAUUGGAAACUGGGAGACUUAGAGUGCAGAAGAGGAGAGUGGAAUUCCAUGUGUAGCGGUGAAAUGCGUAGAUAUAUGGAGGAACACCAGUGGCGAAGGCGACUCUCUGGUCUGUAACUGACGCUGAGGCGCGAAAGCGUGGGGAGCAAACAGGAUUAGAUACCCGCGUAGUCCCUGUCUCUUAUA
RNAcentral lists this ribosomal RNA (301 nucleotides) under uncultured bacterium. RNAcentral describes it as "partial 16S ribosomal RNA". It matches the Rfam family "Bacterial small subunit ribosomal RNA", at positions 509 to 808 of the family's 1533-position model. The record is from RNAcentral.